Acanthosepion pharaonis is the source of this 105-nucleotide non-coding RNA. Lineage: Eukaryota; Metazoa; Mollusca; Cephalopoda; Sepiida; Sepiidae. The record is from the annotation of a GenBank genome assembly.
CCCAUAUCACGUUGAAACACCUCUGUCGUCCGAUCACCGAAGUUAAGCAACGUUGAUCCUGGUCAGUACUCAGAUGAGUGACCAAUGGGGAAUAUCCGGUGCUGA